This 543-nucleotide ribosomal RNA is filed under the name uncultured Glomus. Its description in RNAcentral is "SSU rRNA". It matches the Rfam family "Eukaryotic small subunit ribosomal RNA", at positions 569 to 1102 of the family's 1831-position model. The record is from RNAcentral. Lineage: Eukaryota; Fungi; Glomeromycota; Glomeromycetes; Glomerales; Glomeraceae.
CGCAGCCGCGGUAAUUCCAGCUCCAAUAGCGUAUAUUAAAGUUGUUGCAGUUAAAAAGCUCGUAGUUGAAUUUCGGGGUUAGUAGGUUGGUCAUGCCUCUGGUAUGUACUGGUCUCACUGAUUCCUCCUUCCUGAUGAGCCGUAAUGCCAUUAAUUUGGUGUUGCGGGGAAUUUGGACUGUUACUUUGAAAAAAUUAGAGUGUUUAAAGCAAGCUAACGCUUGAGUACAUUAGCAUGGAAUAAUGAAAUAGGACGUUCGAUCCUAUUUUGUUGGUUUCUAGGAUUGACGUAAUGAUUAAUAGGGAUAGUUGGGGGCAUUAGUAUUCAAUUGUCAGAGGUGAAAUUCUUGGAUUUAUUGAAGACUAACUACUGCGAAAGCAUUUGCCAAGGAUGUUUUCAUUAAUACAAGAACGAAAGUUAGGGAUCGAAGACGAUCAGAUACCGUCGUAGUACUUAACCAUAAACUAUGACCGACUAGGGAUCGGGAUGAUUGUUAAUUUUUAAUUGUACUUNAUUUCGGCCGUCCGUUAACGGGAAACCUAA